This 1518-nucleotide ribosomal RNA is filed under the name Acinetobacter baumannii. RNAcentral's name for it is "partial 23S ribosomal RNA". It matches the Rfam family "Bacterial large subunit ribosomal RNA", at positions 1 to 1579 of the family's 2925-position model. The record is from RNAcentral. Lineage: Bacteria; Pseudomonadati; Pseudomonadota; Gammaproteobacteria; Moraxellales; Moraxellaceae.
GUAAUUAAGUGCAUGUGGUGGAUGCCUUGGCAGUCAGAGGCGAUGAAAGACGUGAUAGCCUGCGAAAAGCUCCGGGGAGGCGGCAAAUAUCCUUUGAUCCGGAGAUGUCUGAAUGGGGGAACCCACCUACUUUAAGGUAGGUAUUGCAACAUGAAUACAUAGUGUUGCAAGGCGAACGAGGGGAAGUGAAACAUCUCAGUACCCUUAGGAAAAGAAAUCAAUUGAGAUUCCCUCAGUAGCGGCGAGCGAACGGGGAUCAGCCCAUUAAGUUAUGUGUGUUUUAGUGGAACGCUCUGGGAAGUGCGAACGUAGAGGGUGAUAUUCCCGUACACGAAAGGGCACACAUAAUGAUGACGAGUAGGGCGAGGCACGUGAAACCUUGUCUGAAUAUGGGGGGACCAUCCUCCAAGGCUAAAUACUCCUGACUGACCGAUAGUGAACCAGUACCGUGAGGGAAAGGCGAAAAGAACCCCUGUGAGGGGAGUGAAAUAGAUCCUGAAACCGCAUGCAUACAAGCAGUGGGAGCACCUUCGUGGUGUGACUGCGUACCUUUUGUAUAAUGGGUCAGCGACUUAUAUUCAGUAGCGAGGUUAACCGUAUAGGGGAGCCGUAGAGAAAUCGAGUCUUAAUAGGGCGUUUAGUUGCUGGGUAUAGACCCGAAACCAGGCGAUCUAUCCAUGAGCAGGUUGAAGGUUGGGUAACACUAACUGGAGGACCGAACCCACUGUCGUUGAAAAGCCAGGGGAUGACUUGUGGAUAGGGGUGAAAGGCUAAUCAAGCCUGGUGAUAGCUGGUUCUCCCCGAAAGCUAUUUAGGUAGCGCCUCGGACGAAUACCAUAGGGGGUAGAGCACUGUUUCGGCUAGGGGGUCAUCCCGACUUACCAAACCGAUGCAAACUCCGAAUACCUAUGAGUACUAUCCGGGAGACAGACUGCGGGUGCUAACGUCCGUAGUCAAGAGGAAAACAAUCCAGACCGCCAGCUAAGGCCCCAAAAUCAUAGUUAAGUGGGAAACGAUGUGGGAAGGCAUAGACAGCUAGGAGGUUGGCUUAGAAGCAGCCACCCUUUAAAGAAAGCGUAAUAGCUCACUAGUCGAGUCGGCCUGCGCGGAAGAUGUAACGGGGCUAAAACUAUGUGCCGAAGCUGCGGAUGUAUACUUUGUAUACGUGGUAGGGGAGCGUUCUGUAAGCCGAUGAAGGUGUGUUGAGAAGCAUGCUGGAGGUAUCAGAAGUGCGAAUGCUGACGUGAGUAACGACAAAACGGGUGAAAAACCCGUUCGCCGAAAGACCAAGGGUUCCAGUCCAACGUUAAUCGGGGCUGGGUGAGUCGACCCCUAAGGCGAGGCCGAAAGGCGUAGUCGAUGGGAAAAUGGUUAAUAUUCCAUUACUUCUGUGUAAUGCGAUGAGAGGACGGAGAAGGCUAAAUCAGCCUGGCGUUGGUUGUCCAGGUGAAAGGAUGUAGGCAUGUAUCUUAGGCAAAUCCGGGGUACUCUAUGCUGAGAUCUGAUAGCAAGCUGUAC